AGGGCGCACGGUGGAUGCCUUGGCACUAGAAGCCGAUGAAGGACGUUACUAACGACGAUAUGCUUUGGGGAGCUGUAAGUAAGCUUUGAUCCAGAGAUUUCCGAAUGGGGAAACCCAGCAUGAGUUAUGUCAUGUUAUCGAUAUGUGAAUACAUAGCAUAUCAGAAGGCACACCCGGAGAACUGAAACAUCUUAGUACCCGGAGGAAGAGAAAGAAAAUUCGAUUCCCUUAGUAGCGGCGAGCGAAACGGGAAGAGCCCAAACCAACAAGCUUGCUUGUUGGGGUUGUAGGACACUCUAUACGGAGUUACAAAGGACGACAUUAGACGAAUCAUCUGGAAAGAUGAAUCAAAGAAGGUAAUAAUCCUGUAGUCGAAAAUGUUGUCUCUCUUGAGUGGAUCCUGAGUACGACGGAGCACGUGAAAUUCCGUCGGAAUCUGGGAGGACCAUCUCCUAAGGCUAAAUACUCUCUAGUGACCGAUAGUGAACCAGUACCGUGAGGGAAAGGUGAAAAGCACCCCGGAAGGGGAGUGAAAUAGAACCUGAAACCGUGUGCUUACAAGUAGUCAGAGCCCGUUAAUGGGUGAUGGCGUGCCUUUUGUAGAAUGAACCGGCGAGUUACGAUUUGAUGCAAGGUUAAGCAGUAAAUGUGGAGCCGUAGCGAAAGCGAGUCUGAAUAGGGCGUUUAGUAUUUGGUCGUAGACCCGAAACCAGGUGAUCUACCCUUGGUCAGGUUGAAGUUCAGGUAACACUGAAUGGAGGACCGAACCGACUUACGUUGAAAAGUGAGCGGAUGAACUGAGGGUAGCGGAGAAAUUCCAAUCGAACCUGGAGAUAGCUGGUUCUCUCCGAAAUAGCUUUAGGGCUAGCCUCAAGUGAUGAUUAUUGGAGGUAGAGCACUGUUUGGACGAGGGGCCCCUCUCGGGUUACCGAAUUCAGACAAACUCCGAAUGCCAAUUAAUUUAACUUGGGAGUCAGAACAUGGGUGAUAAGGUCCGUGUUCGAAAGGGAAACAGCCCAGACCACCAGCUAAGGUCCCAAAAUAUAUGUUAAGUGGAAAAGGAUGUGGCGUUGCCCAGACAACUAGGAUGUUGGCUUAGAAGCAGCCAUCAUUUAAAGAGUGCGUAAUAGCUCACUAGUCGAGUGACACUGCGCCGAAAAUGUACCGGGGCUAAACAUAUUACCGAAGCUGUGGAUUGUCCUUUGGACAAUGGUAGGAGAGCGUUCUAAGGGCGUUGAAGCAUGAUCGUAAGGACAUGUGGAGCGCUUAGAAGUGAGAAUGCCGGUGUGAGUAGCGAAAGACGGGUGAGAAUCCCGUCCACCGAUUGACUAAGGUUUCCAGAGGAAGGCUCGUCCGCUCUGGGUUAGUCGGGUCCUAAGCUGAGGCCGACAGGCGUAGGCGAUGGAUAACAGGUUGAUAUUCCUGUACCACCUAUAAUCGUUUUAAUCGAUGGGGGGACGCAGUAGGAUAGGCGAAGCGUGCGAUUGGAUUGCACGUCUAAGCAGUAAGGCUGAGUAUUAGGCAAAUCCGGUACUCAUUAAGGCUGAGCUGUGAUGGGGAGAAGACAUUGUGUCUUCGAGUCGUUGAUUUCACACUGCCGAGAAAAGCCUCUAGAUAGAAAAUAGGUGCCCGUACCGCAAACCGACACAGGUAGUCAAGAUGAGAAUUCUAAGGUGAGCGAGCGAACUCUCGUUAAGGAACUCGGCAAAAUGACCCCGUAACUUCGGGAGAAGGGGUGCUCUUUAGGGUUAACGCCCAGAAGAGCCGCAGUGAAUAGGCCCAAGCGACUGUUUAUCAAAAACACAGGUCUCUGCUAAACCGUAAGGUGAUGUAUAGGGGCUGACGCCUGCCCGGUGCUGGAAGGUUAAGAGGAGUGGUUAGCUUCUGCGAAGCUACGAAUCGAAGCCCCAGUAAACGGCGGCCGUAACUAUAACGGUCCUAAGGUAGCGAAAUUCCUUGUCGGGUAAGUUCCGACCCGCACGAAAGGCGUAACGAUUUGGGCACUGUCUCAACGAGAGACUCGGUGAAAUCAUAGUACCUGUGAAGAUGCAGGUUACCCGCGACAGGACGGAAAGACCCCGUGGAGCUUUACUGUAGCCUGAUAUUGAAAUUCGGCACAGCUUGUACAGGAUAGGUAGGAGCCUUUGAAACGUGAGCGCUAGCUUACGUGGAGGCGCUGGUGGGAUACUACCCUAGCUGUGUUGGCUUUCUAACCCGCACCACUUAUCGUGGUGGGAGACAGUGUCAGGCGGGCAGUUUGACUGGGGCGGUCGCCUCCUAAAAGGUAACGGAGGCGCUCAAAGGUUCCCUCAGAAUGGUUGGAAAUCAUUCAUAGAGUGUAAAGGCAUAAGGGAGCUUGACUGCGAGACCUACAAGUCGAGCAGGGUCGAAAGACGGACUUAGUGAUCCGGUGGUUCCGCAUGGAAGGGCCAUCGCUCAACGGAUAAAAGCUACCCCGGGGAUAACAGGCUUAUCUCCCCCAAGAGUUCACAUCGACGGGGAGGUUUGGCACCUCGAUGUCGGCUCAUCGCAUCCUGGGGCUGUAGUCGGUCCCAAGGGUUGGGCUGUUCGCCCAUUAAAGCGGUACGCGAGCUGGGUUCAGAACGUCGUGAGACAGUUCGGUCCCUAUCCGUCGUGGGCGUAGGAAAUUUGAGAGGAGCUGUCCUUAGUACGAGAGGACCGGGAUGGACAUACCUCUGGUGUACCAGUUGUCGUGCCAACGGCAUAGCUGGGUAGCUAUGUGUGGACGGGAUAAGUGCUGAAAGCAUCUAAGCAUGAAGCCCCCCUCAAGAUGAGAUUUCCCAACUUCGGUUAU
Molecule: ribosomal RNA, 2815 nt
Filed under: Staphylococcus aureus
Lineage: Bacteria; Bacillati; Bacillota; Bacilli; Caryophanales; Staphylococcaceae
Also listed under: 8 other names
Description: bacterial LSU rRNA
Rfam family: Bacterial large subunit ribosomal RNA
Source: RNAcentral